GUGCCAGCAGCCGCGGUAAUACGGAGGGUGCGAGCGUUAAUCGGAAUUACCGGGCGUAAAGGGCGCGUAGGCGGUCGCGCAAGUCGGGUGUGAAAGCCCCCGGGGCUCAACCUGGGAAUUGCAUUCGAUACUGCGUAACUAGAGUCUGGUAGAGGGAAGCGGAAUUCCGCAUGUAGCGGUGAAAUGCGUAGAUAUGCGGAGGAACACCAGUGGCGAAGGCGGCUUCCUGGACCAAGACUGACGCUGAGGCGCGAAAGCGUGGGGAGCAAACAGGAUUAGAUACCCUGGUAGUCCACGCCCUAAACGAUGAGGACUAGACGUUGGGGGGGAUAAAACCCUUUAGUGUCGCAGCUAACGCGUGAAGUCCUCCGCCUGGGGGAAUACGGCCGCAAGGUUGAAACUCAAAGGAAUUGACGG
This 417-nucleotide ribosomal RNA is filed under the name uncultured bacterium. RNAcentral describes it as "bacterial SSU rRNA". It matches the Rfam family "Bacterial small subunit ribosomal RNA", at positions 505 to 916 of the family's 1533-position model. The record is from RNAcentral.